Long non-coding RNA from Macrosteles quadrilineatus (aster leafhopper), 973 nucleotides. RefSeq lists it as uncharacterized. The transcript has 9 exons. NCBI's taxonomy places the organism in Eukaryota, Metazoa, Arthropoda, Insecta, Hemiptera, Cicadellidae. The record is from RefSeq and is a predicted model, not a curated record.
CAAAAUAUAAAUAUUGUUUAGUAAAACAAAUAAAUAUAAACUAUAAUGACAAAGAUUCAAAAUUUUUAGUUGUUUAUUCUUCUCAAAUGUUACAUUAAUUUACCAAGAUUUCACUUACAGAACAAUGGAUUAUGAACAGUUGUUUGCACAAUAUGUGUUAGAGCUGUGUUUGCUAUAUUAUUCAAUUUUGUUAUUAAUAGCUGAGAGAAACGGGCAGAAGAAAAUAAAAAUAACUGAAAUAACUGAAGAGAGAGUAGCCUAAUAAGUCCAAGUGAAAAAGUUACCAUAUCUUAAUGUGAUCAAGAUAAAAAACUUGUCAAACUAGAUUUCACAUACAGAACAAUGGAUUAUGAACAGUUAUUUGCACAAUUUGUGUUAGCAGUGUUUGCUAUAUUAUUCACUUUCGUUAUUAAUAGAUCACAGAAAGGAGCAGAAGAAAAUAACAAAACAACUGAAAAAAUAGGCUAGUGAAAACCCCAAGUGAAAAAAGUAGUUUUAAUUUAGAACAAUAUCAAAAUCUUGUAAAGCAGAUUCAGCAAGAAAAAAUAAACCAUCACAACCGAAGCAUCAUAGCAGCAUCAGUCAAACAUAUUGUGCAAGAAAAAAUGGGAAAGCUUCAACAUAUAUCGGACUGGGUAAGAAGUGCUACGUACCAUCAAAAUACUGCGAAUGACCGCUUUAGUGAGAAACCUACAGUGCUUUCAAGUCCAGCACGUAAAUAUUCCAUCUUUCACGGAUUAGAAAAGAAAAUUCAGCAAUUAAAGGCAAACUCACAGAAGUCGCUAGAUGCCAUCUCUAAGACGUCCAAUCCAGCCAAAAAACAUCAUCGGAUAAAACAGUAUACUGUGUAUAAAUAUAAAGUAUAUUUAAACAAUGGAAUAGCACAAAACAAUAUGUACUAAGCCCUCAAGAUCGUCUGAUAGAUAUCGCAGUGUGAUUUUUCUUUAAAUUAAACAAUGAUGUCCAACCUCAA